This 502-nucleotide ribosomal RNA is filed under the name Brevibacillus brevis. Its description in RNAcentral is "bacterial LSU rRNA". It matches the Rfam family "Bacterial large subunit ribosomal RNA", at positions 1 to 492 of the family's 2925-position model. The record is from RNAcentral. Lineage: Bacteria; Bacillati; Bacillota; Bacilli; Caryophanales; Paenibacillaceae.
AUGUGGUUAAGUUACUAAGGGCACACGGUGGAUGCCUUGGCGCUAGGAGCCGAAGAAGGACGCAGCGAACUGCGAUAAGCCUCGGGGAGCGGUAAGCACGCUUUGAUCCGGGGAUCUCCGAAUGGGGAAACCCACCAUCUGUAAUGGGAUGGUAUCCAUCACUGAAUACAUAGGUGAUGAGAAGGCAGACCCGGUGAACUGAAACAUCUAAGUAGCCGGAGGAAGAGAAAACAAUAGUGAUUCCGUCAGUAGUGGCGAGCGAACGCGGAAGAGCCUAAACCGUCGGGUUUACCCGGCGGGGUUGUGGGGCGUCUCACAUGGAGUUACAAAAGACGCGCGUAGGUGAACAGCUUGGGAAAGCUGACCAUAGAGCGUGAUAGUCGCGUAACCUAAACGCGCGUCUCUCCGAGACCAACCCCGAGUAGCGCGGGACACGUGAAAUCCCGUGUGAAUCUGGCAGGACCAUCUGCUAAGGCUAAAUACUACCUAGCGACCGAUAGUG